Molecule: ribosomal RNA, 301 nt
Filed under: uncultured bacterium
Lineage: Bacteria
Description: partial 16S ribosomal RNA
Rfam family: Bacterial small subunit ribosomal RNA
Source: RNAcentral
CAGUCGCCGCGGUAAUACGAAGGGUGCAAGCGUUAAUCGGAAUUACUGGGCGUAAAGCGUGCGUAGGCGGUUUGUUAAGUCUGUUGUGAAAUCCCCGGGCUCAACCUGGGAAUGGCAAUGGAUACUGGCAAGCUAGAGUGUGUCAGAGGAUGGUGGAAUUCCCGGUGUAGCGGUGAAAUGCGUAGAGAUCGGGAGGAACAUCAGUGGCGAAGGCGGCCAUCUGGGACAACACUGACGCUGAGGCACGAAAGCGUGGGGAGCAAACAGGAUUAGAUACCCCAGUAGUCCCUGUCUCUUAUAC